This 26-nucleotide non-coding RNA is filed under the name Mus musculus (house mouse). Lineage: Eukaryota; Metazoa; Chordata; Mammalia; Rodentia; Muridae. The record is from RNAcentral.
UAAAAUGAACAGUUUUUCUAGCAGGG